Molecule: ribosomal RNA, 253 nt
Filed under: uncultured bacterium
Lineage: Bacteria
Description: partial 16S ribosomal RNA
Rfam family: Bacterial small subunit ribosomal RNA
Source: RNAcentral
UACAGAGGGUGCGAGCGUUAAUCGGAAUUACUGGGCGUAAAGCGCGCGUAGACGGUUUUGUAAGUCAGAUGUGAAAUCCCUGGGCUCAACCUGGGAACUGCAUUUGAUACUGCAUGGCUAGAGUAUGGAAGAGGGAAGUGGAAUUUCCGGUGUAGCGGUGAAAUGCGUAGAUAUCGGAAGGAACACCAGUGGCGAAAGCGACUUCCUGGUCCAAUACUGACGUUCAUGUGCGAAAGCGUGGGGAGCAAACAGG